RNAcentral lists this ribosomal RNA (759 nucleotides) under Pseudarthrobacter sp. Its description in RNAcentral is "bacterial SSU rRNA". It matches the Rfam family "Bacterial small subunit ribosomal RNA", at positions 75 to 845 of the family's 1533-position model. The record is from RNAcentral. Lineage: Bacteria; Bacillati; Actinomycetota; Actinomycetes; Micrococcales; Micrococcaceae.
CCAGCUUGCUGGUGGAUUAGUGGCGAACGGGUGAGUAACACGUGAGUAACCUGCCCUUGACUCUGGGAUAAGCCUGGGAAACUGGGUCUAAUACCGGAUAUGACCUUCCAUCGCAUGGUGGUUGGUGGAAAGCUUUUGUGGUUUUGGAUGGACUCGCGGCCUAUCAGCUUGUUGGUGAGGUAAUGGCUUACCAAGGCGACGACGGGUAGCCGGCCUGAGAGGGUGACCGGCCACACUGGGACUGAGACACGGCCCAGACUCCUACGGGAGGCAGCAGUGGGGAAUAUUGCACAAUGGGCGCAAGCCUGAUGCAGCGACGCCGCGUGAGGGAUGACGGCCUUCGGGUUGUAAACCUCUUUCAGUAGGGAAGAAGCCGCAAGGUGACGGUACCUGCAGAAGAAGCGCCGGCUAACUACGUGCCAGCAGCCGCGGUAAUACGUAGGGCGCAAGCGUUAUCCGGAAUUAUUGGGCGUAAAGAGCUCGUAGGCGGUUUGUCGCGUCUGCCGUGAAAGUCCGGGGCUCAACUCCGGAUCUGCGGUGGGUACGGGCAGACUAGAGUGAUGUAGGGGAGACUGGAAUUCCUGGUGUAGCGGUGAAAUGCGCAGAUAUCAGGAGGAACACCGAUGGCGAAGGCAGGUCUCUGGGCAUUAACUGACGCUGAGGAGCGAAAGCAUGGGGAGCGAACAGGAUUAGAUACCCUGGUAGUCCAUGCCGUAAACGUUGGGCACUAGGUGUGGGGGACAUUCCACGUUUUCCGCG